RNAcentral lists this ribosomal RNA (666 nucleotides) under uncultured Micromonosporaceae bacterium. RNAcentral's name for it is "bacterial SSU rRNA". It matches the Rfam family "Bacterial small subunit ribosomal RNA", at positions 136 to 816 of the family's 1533-position model. Lineage: Bacteria; Bacillati; Actinomycetota; Actinomycetes; Micromonosporales; Micromonosporaceae. The record is from RNAcentral.
CUUUGGGAUAACCCUCGGAAACGGGGGCUAAUACUGGAUAGGACUUCUCGCCGCAUGGUGGGGGGUGGAAAGUUUUUUCGGCCUGGGAUGGGCUCGCGGCCUAUCAGCUUGUUGGUGGGGUGAUGGCCUACCAAGGCGGUGACGGGUAGCCGGCCUGAGAGGGCGACCGGCCACACUGGGACUGAGACACGGCCCAGACUCCUACGGGAGGCAGCAGUGGGGAAUCUUGCACAAUGGGCGGAAGCCUGAUGCAGCGACGCCGCGUGAGGGAUGACGGCCUUCGGGUUGUAAACCUCUUUCAGUAGGGACGAAGCGUGAGUGACGGUACCUACAGAAGAAGCGCCGGCCAACUACGUGCCAGCAGCCGCGGUAAGACGUAGGGCGCGAGCGUUGUCCGGAUUUAUUGGGCGUAAAGAGCUCGUAGGCGGCUUGUCGCGUCGACUGUGAAAACCCAUGGCUUAACUGUGGGCUUACAGCCGAUACGGGCAGGCUAGAGUUCGGUAGGGGAGACUGGAAUUCCUGGUGUAGCGGUGAAAUGCGCAGAUAUCAGGAGGAACACCGGUGGCGAAGGCGGGUCUCUGGGCCGAUACUGACGCUGAGGAGCGAAAGCGUGGGGAGCGAACAGGAUUAGAUACCCUGGUAGUCCACGCUGUAAACGUUGGGCGC